Non-coding RNA from Mycena sp. CBHHK59/15, 96 nucleotides. Lineage: Eukaryota; Fungi; Basidiomycota; Agaricomycetes; Agaricales; Mycenaceae. The record is from the annotation of a GenBank genome assembly.
GCGGACGUGGUGCACGGCGCACCGCUGCGUACAAUUAGCACGCCGUAAAGAUGAGAUUUAAAGCAGUUGAACGGGGUUCGACUCCCCGCGUCCGCC